GCGGGAAUAGCUCAGUUGGUAGAGCCCAACCUUGCCAAGGUUGAGGUCGCGAGUUCGAGUCUCGUUUCCCGCUCCA
Molecule: transfer RNA, 76 nt
Filed under: Xanthomonas citri pv. citri
Lineage: Bacteria; Pseudomonadati; Pseudomonadota; Gammaproteobacteria; Lysobacterales; Lysobacteraceae
Description: tRNA-Gly
Rfam family: tRNA
About the family: Transfer RNA (tRNA) molecules are approximately 80 nucleotides in length. Their secondary structure includes four short double-helical elements and three loops (D, anti-codon, and T loops).
Source: RNAcentral